CCUACGGGCGGCAGCAGUGAGGAAUAUUGGUCAAUGGACGAGAGUCUGAACCAGCCAAGUAGCGUGAAGGAUGACUGCCCUAUGGGUUGUAAACUUCUUUUAUAUGGGAAUAAAAUGUUCCACGUGUGGGAUUUUGUAUGUACCAUAUGAAUAAGGAUCGGCUAACUCCGUGCCAGCAGCAGCGGUAAUACGGAGGAUCCGAGCGUUAUCCGGAUUUAUUGGGUUUAAAGGGAGCGUAGGUGGAUUGUUAAGUCAGUUGUGAAAGUUUGCGGCUCAACCGUAAAAUUGCAGUUGAAACUGGCAGUCUUGAGUACAGUAGAGGUGGGCGGAAUUCGUGGUGUAGCGGUGAAAUGCUUAGAUAUCACGAAGAACUCCGAUUGCGAAGGCAGUUCACUGGACUGCAACUGACACUGAGGCUCGAAAGUGUGGGUAUCAAACAGGAUUAGAUACCCUAGUAGUC
Molecule: ribosomal RNA, 460 nt
Filed under: uncultured bacterium
Lineage: Bacteria
Description: partial 16S ribosomal RNA
Rfam family: Bacterial small subunit ribosomal RNA
Source: RNAcentral